AGUUGCAAAGCUUCCGGUUCUGGGGGAAGGCGUGGCUUCCGCGCUCUUUGAAAUGUCCGGCGCCGGAAUGUCUGGGUGCUUUGGUUGGAGAGGGUCCCAUUUCCAGUCAUUCUUCAGCCUGGUGAUUCCCGCGCUCCCCUGAGGAGCAUAUGAAGUACGUCGGUUCUGCCAGGUUGGAACGCGCUGCUGGACACUCGGCCGUAAGGCGGAUCCCGGAUCCCCUCCCACUCCGACCCUUCCCUCCAGAAGGGCCGGUUCCCAAACGGCCCCUUUAGACACAUCCAAGCGGUUGCCGACGGCCCUCACGAUGAAAACUGCUGUCCGUUGGUGAAGGCAGCCUCUUCUGUGCUCCUCGCCGCUGACUUCCUGAGGCGGACCUACCUGUGGAGGCAUACCAGGAACCAGACGAUGACCCCCUCCAAAAGUUGGGUCUUUGAGGAGAGCUACUAACUUGGGUUCCUGGUACACCCUCUACAUGCAGUGGUGAAGCUUAUCUAACAGUCAUUCAUAGAAUCAGUUUGGGAAGGGGAAUUUUCACUGAACUCUCAUAGAGAAACUGUGUUUUAGAUAACAGAAAGUUCUGCACGGUUAAAAUGGAACAGAAAUUUUUUUGCACAGAAAUUAGGAUUACCGAAAAUACUGAAGAAAGACUACCUCUGAUUGGACUCUUCUCAAGGAAUUAAUAAUUCAAGAACUAAGGAAAGAAAAAAGUGAUUAUAUGAAAAUACUGAAGUUGAUCGUAGCAGCUGAAGGCUGAUCCUGUGUGGGUAAAUGUAAACGCUGAAUUCCCACAUUCCAAUGUGCGACCUGGGAUUAAGGCAGCAAUUGAGCAGGGCUGAAGUACAUUGGUGCAAUCUUGGCUCACUGCAUCUCCACCCCAGGUUCAAGCGAUUCUCCUGCCUCAGCCUCCCAAGCAGCUGGGAUUACAGAAUGUCACAUAAAUGGAAUCAUACUGUGUCCGGAAUUGGUGGGUUCUUGGUCUCACUGACUUCAAGAAUGACGCCAUGGGCCCUCGCGGUGAGUGUUACAGCUCUUAAGGUGGCGCGUCUGGAGUUUGUUCCUUCUGAUGUUCGGAUGUGUUCGGAGUUUCUUCCUUCUGGUGGGUUCGUGGUCUCGCUGGCUCAGGAGUGAAGCUGCAGACUUUCGCGGGCUGGCCGACUGCUCCGAGUGCGGGGCCGCCAAGCCCACGCCCACCCGGAACUCCAGCUGGCCCGCAAGCGCCUCACGCAGCCCCGGUUCCCGCUCGCGCCUCUCCCUCCACACCUCCCUGCAAGCUGAGGGAGUGGGCUCCAGCCUUGGCCAGCCCAGAAAGGGGCUCCCACAGUGCAGUGGUGGGCUGAAGGGCUCCUCAAGUGCCGCCAAACUGGGAGCCCAGGCAGAGGAGGUGCCGAGAGCAAGCGAGGGCUCUGAGGACUGCCAGCACGCUGUCACCUCUCAAUACAAUUUCAUCUCUCUCUCUGCUAUGGACACAGAUGGCUUCACUCCAUCCUGUAUUCUUCGGACCAUGAUAAAAUUCCAGACUCUCGGUAGUUUUUGCGUUCCAAGAAGUAGAGCCUAGAGUGGUGGCCUAUAAUUACAGUUACUCAGGAGGCUGAGGCAGGAGGAUCCUUUGAGUCCAGCAGUUUGAGGCCAGCCUGGACACCACAGCAAGACCACCAAUAAAUAAAUAAAUAAAUGGAACAUGAAAAAA
This 1690-nucleotide long non-coding RNA is filed under the name Homo sapiens (human). RNAcentral's name for it is "UBL7 divergent transcript (UBL7-DT)". The record is from RNAcentral. Lineage: Eukaryota; Metazoa; Chordata; Mammalia; Primates; Hominidae.